This is a non-coding RNA of Bacillus thuringiensis serovar monterrey BGSC 4AJ1, 116 nucleotides long. Lineage: Bacteria; Bacillati; Bacillota; Bacilli; Caryophanales; Bacillaceae. The record is from Rfam.
GAUCUAUGAGGUGGGAAAGGUUCCCCACGCGCUUAUCUAACCACUGUUCGCGAUCAAUCAUUUGAAUGGUUAGGUAAGUUACCAGAGAUGUAGGAUACGCCGCCCUACCAUCGAUC